RNA transcript from Plodia interpunctella (Indianmeal moth), 8098 nucleotides. It is a transcript of the gene named Protein Kinase D, with no coding region annotated. The transcript is spliced from 19 exons. The record is from RefSeq and is a predicted model, not a curated record. Lineage: Eukaryota; Metazoa; Arthropoda; Insecta; Lepidoptera; Pyralidae.
AAACAAAUGUCACAUCACAUCUGUCAAGUGAAGUGAAAUGUGACGGUGGUCCAUGUUUUGUCUUUUCUGAUUUACUUGUUGAUUUUCUUGUAAAUUAAUGCAAAAACAAGUGUAAAAUAUUACCGUCUGACUAGUAACGACUAUGUUGUAGUGCUGUGAGUGUCUGAAGAGCGGAGGACUCGUCUUCUCGCCGUUGGAAGCGCCUACUGUUCAGAGCGCGUGCCCCGUGCGAGCAUGGAGGACGAAGUGACAUUCCUGUUCCAACUGGGCGUGCUCCGGGACGCGGUGAGUGCGCCUGCGCACGCGCUCACACUCGCACAUCUCAAGGAGCUCGCCGUCAAGUUCGUACUAGAGAAGAUCCCAGACAACGGGCUGAGUCGACUUUCUGAACGGAUCCUGUUGUUCCGCCACGACUACUGCUCGCCGAACGUGCUGCAGCUAAUCAACAGCGGCACCGACGUCGGCGACGAGACCCUCGUCGAGAUCGUCUUCACUGCCAACCCGUUAGUAUGCGACGGAACACUAGAAGCGCCCGCUCUGCGGCCCCACGCGCUGGCCGUGCACUCGUACAAGGCGCCCACCUUCUGUGACUUCUGCGGGGAGAUGCUUUUCGGGCUGGUGCGACAAGGGCUGAAGUGCGAGGGCUGCGGUCAGAACUACCACAAGCGCUGCGCAGUGAAGGUGCCGUCGAACUGCGCGGCGCCGGCGAGCGCGCGGCGCACGUCCGCGGCGCCGCGCAGCCCGUCGCGCGGCUCCGACCACAGCCACGCCUCACACGACGACUCGCUGAUGAGCGGGUCCGUGAGCAAGCGCAGCAGCUCCCCGCCGGCCGCGGCCGCGCCGCCGCCGCACUCCUCCAUCGGCAUCCCGCACACCUUCGAGAUCCACUCCUACACCAGGCCCACAGUAUGCAGAUACUGCAAGAAGCUGCUGCGCGGGCUGUUCAAGCAGGGCAUGCAGUGCAGGGACUGCCACUACAACGCGCACCGGAAAUGUCUGCAGUUCGUGCCCAAGGACUGCGGCGGGGAGAUCAGGGACCCGCAUGGCGAAUACCAGGACAGCAUCAGCACCGGCAGCGAGAUAUCGGAGAGCGCGCGCCUCCCUGACGAGGAGUCCGACGACGGCGACGCGACAUCGGGCAGCCGCGACGACGAGGCCACGCUGCGCACGCGCACCCUCACCGACGACGAGCCGCAGCGGGACACGGUGCCCGCCAGCCGGCCCAGCAGAUGUCUGUCUAUAAUAAAAUCUGACGGAGGAUAUGAUUCUGAGGUCACGUUGCGAGGAUAUGCGGAUACAGAUGAUGAGGGGCGGAGAGACACUGAACCUGAUGUUAGACUCCACAGUACCUGUCUGUCUGACGGAGAAGCGACAAGCGAAUACGAUGACGUGGUCAUACUGCGAAGACGCGUGGACUUCGAUGAUGGGCCCCAGAGGGACAAAUCAACGAGCAGGCCUAGCAGCUCGUCGUCAUCACCCAGCGCCAACAUCCCGCUGAUGAGGAUCGUGCAGUCGGUGAAGCACACCAAGAAGCGGGAGGGGCAGUGGCUGAAGGAAGGCUGGCUGGUGCACUUCACCAAUAAGGACAAGACGAUAAAGCGCCACUACUGGCGGCUGGACAGCAAGUCCAUCACGCUGUUCACGUCGGAGCAGGGCAGCAAGUACUACAAGGAGCUGCCUCUCGACGAGGUGCUGGCUGUGGACACCGCCCGCCAGCCGCACUCUGACGUGAUGCACUGCUUCGAGCUGCGCACGGCGAAUGUGGACUACAUGGUGGGCGUGGACCCGGGCUGGCAGACGCCGCUGCCGCCGCCCGAGUCCGGCGUCGGCGCCUACCUCGCGCGCUCCUGGGAGACGGCGCUGCGCCACGCGCUCAUGCCCGUCACGCUCAAAGCGACGGGCACUCCAAGCGAGGCGGAAAGCGGAGCGGAGAAUAACGCAGCGGACCCAGACGGCGGGCAGCGAAGGGACACCGACAUGGCGCAAGUGUACCACAUCUACCCUGACGAGGUGCUGGGCUCUGGCCAGUUCGGCAUUGUCUAUGGCGGGCUGCAUCGGCGGACGCAGAGGCCUGUGGCUAUUAAGGUGAUCGACAAACUCCGUUUCCCCACGAAACAAGAGGCGCAGCUGAAGAACGAGGUAGCGAUCCUGCAGAACCUGUCGCACCCGGGUGUCGUCAACCUCGAGCGCAUGUUCGAGACCCCUGAGAGGAUCUUCGUGGUCAUGGAGAAGCUGAAGGGGGACAUGCUGGAGAUGAUACUCUCGCACGAGAAGGGACGCCUGAGCGAGAGGACCACGAAGUUCUUGGUUGCCCAGAUCCUGGUGGCGCUGAAGCACCUGCACGAGAAGAACAUCGUGCACUGCGACCUGAAGCCGGAGAACGUGCUGCUGACGUCGGACGAGGAGCUGCCGCAGGUGAAGCUGUGCGACUUCGGCUUCGCCCGCAUCAUCGGCGAGAAGUCCUUCCGCCGCUCCGUCGUCGGCACGCCGGCGUACCUCGCGCCGGAAGUCCUGCGCAACAAGGGCUACAAUCGGUCGCUGGACAUGUGGUCGGUGGGCGUCAUCGUGUACGUGUCGCUCAGCGGCACGUUCCCCUUCAAUGAGGACGAGGACAUCAAUGAGCAGAUCCAGAACGCCGCCUUCAUGUACCCCACUGUACCCUGGAAGGAGAUCUCGUGUCUCGCGAUAGACCUGAUUAACAACCUGCUGCAAGUGAAGCAGCGCAAGCGGCUGUCGGUGGACAAGUCUGUGUCGCACGCGUGGCUGCAGACGCGCGAGGCGUGGCUGGAUCUGCGCGCGCUCGAGCGCCGCGUGGGCGCGCGCUAUCUCACGCACGCCAGCGACGACCAGCGCUGGGCCAACGGCGACCACUGACUGUACGUACGUCCUUCUGGCUGGCUGGCUGUUCGCGAUUAACGUCGAGCUAUUGCACGUCGGGGGAAGCGCCGCGGUCGCUGCGCUGGAAGAAGCUGCUGGUCAUGGUGCGCUAGACACACACACACACACACACACACACACACACACACACACACACACACACACACACACACACACACACACACACACACACACACACACACAUUGUUACUAGUACUCCUUUGGUGAGCUCUCGACGUUGAUCCUCACAUUUAAUUUCAGUUACAAAGUGCCACAAGCUAUGGAGCACCUACUAUCUUGCCCAGAAAGAACUAUAUUAAAGUGUCUAUUAACACUACAGGCACAAAAAUAAUAUAGUUUCUAAUUUAUUUAAUAAUUCAAUUUCUCAUUAAUAUCAAUUUAUUUUAAUAAAAAACAAAACAUGUAUGUUAAUCGCAAACCAACGUCGAAGCUCCCAGUAAGCAUUUGAUUGUACGCAUUUGCACAUCACUGUAAUACGUUUAUUUAUUAGGCAUAUCAACUAUACAUACAGACAUACAAUUAUCUCUGUAUCGACUGUUGGUUGACUGGUGGAAAAUGCCUAAGGCUUUAAGAGCCAGGCCCCAUUGGUACAUUGCGGCUCCGUUGUUUUCUACAGGUUUUAACAAUGACGUGCGUUGACGUACGUCGAAACUUCAUACGUUGUUCGGCGUUGACCCGUCGACGUGACGGAAGACGGAGCGCAACGUAACAAUGCCUAGCUCUGAGUCCGACUUUUACAUGGUUUUGUAAUAAAUAAAUAAAUAUUAUGAUUGAUAUGCCUAAGUAAAUAAUUUUUCCCGCGUAUUACCGCGUAUACUAGGUUUCUACCGACACAUUCCUAGCUAGCGGAUGUUUCGAACCAUUUAGAGUAAUUAUUUUAUUUAUAUAUUUACAAGAACGGGAUUUUAAUUUUACGCCUAAUUGACACGAGCUUAGCACUAUAAUUAAUAGUUUAAAACUUAUAACACCCGUUAAAAAUUAUAAUAAUGGCGUAAACCCAAUGUUUUACUACCACCUCUUCAAUAGAGGCUAUUUAACAAAUUCGUAAAUGCAUUUUAUUUGGAACGACUCGCUAUCACAUUACGCAGUUAAAAAUAUUACUUCAGUACUUAAAAUUGUCGGGGGCGUGUAAUUUUAAUCACAUAUCCAAUGUAGGUGUGUAGGCGAAGCUCCUUUAUAUAAAACAGAUCAAUGCGCAUACCUAUCGUUUUGCUUUCCCCAGACAAGAUGACGUUCAUUGAAAAGUGAGCUUUAAAGCGUUUACAAAUUACUGGAUAGCUCGCUGUCAGCUCCUCUCGCAUUGUCAGUGUAAAGUCUGCUUACACAGGACGCUUUAAAGCUCAAUUUUCAAUGAAUGUCAUAUUCCCGGGAGGGACGAGUGUGUUUGCGGCGCAGCUCUAAACUCGUUUCAACUAGGCAUUAAUCUAAGCUUGUACUAAGUACCUAAUUUUUUUGUGAGACGGCGAAUUCCAUGCAUGUUGUGCUUUUGUAUUAUAAUGUAUGGGAGAAUUUUAUGCUUUUUAAAUGAACUCACAUUAUCAAUAAGUUUUCCUAGUCUUUAAGAGUAACCAUAAAGUUACAAUGAAAAAAUCUAUUCCAACUUCUGUCUAUGAUAAAUACACUACUAUACAUCGGCGUAGAUUUGGGAAAUAAAACUUUGUAACUAUAAAAGCACACUGAUUUUAAAUUAAUAUAUAAAACGCAAAUCGAGUGGUAGAUUCGUCUAAGAUGGUUUAACAUCUAAGAAUGAUUUCCUAAGUUAAGAAUUUGAACAAUUUGAUGAACAAAAAUUGGUGCGCGUCACCGCUACUCGCUAUUGUACGGCCUAAAUAGAUUUAAGUAUACAAUAUAACCAAUGUUUAUGUGUGUAAUGGAGGCGUGCGGAUGACACAAAAAGCUUAUUUUUUUGCAAUUCCGGCUGACAGCUCCUGCUGAAGUUGUGUAAUGUCUGAAUUUUUUAUUCCACGCAAUUCUGAAACAUUGUAACAGCCGACCCGUGAAUGGAAAACAAUUGUAUGAAAUAAAAAAAAAUACCUUUAAUGAAUUUCAGGUUUCAAUUUUGAAAUUGUAAUAUAAUUUUUAUUAUCAUGCUAUCAUAUUAACAUUUUUCUUCAUCAGGAAUCCCUGUUAAGUGGUGACUCACACGUUACUAACCAUUUUUGGGAAAACCAUUUUUGUAAUCGAUAAAAACUAAAUUUGAAAUUCAAAACAUUCGCUAUCUCCGUACGCCUUUAUCUGAAUAUAUUAAUAUUAUCAAUGUUGUUAUUAUUAACUUUGUGAUAUUUAUUGGGAGCACAUUGUUGAUAUACUACAUCUACACUAAUGUUCUUAGAGAGUUUAAUGAAUUUUUGAAAAUAAUUACGCGAUGAGGAAAAAUUCUGGAAUCGAGCGGGAAUUAAACUCGACCGGGUCCGUUCAGUAUUUCAUUCCGGUAUAUUCAGUAUUCAUUAAAAAAAUCUAAUUUUGUUUUAAUAUGUUUCGUCCUUUAAGUCACUUAACUAAUUGAUUUGCAGUGAAAGAGCGAGACAAAACAUAGUUUAACUACACUGUUUUUUAUGAAUAGGGUAUAUUAUAAUGUUGCUUUCAAUAAUGCCACUCAAUUUCACAUAAGUUAAUGUAAUUCGCUAGAUAUAGGCAGAUAACUAAUUAGACAAACUCUAUAUCCCCGUAAUAUGCCAAUUCAUUUGAAAGAGUGCCAACAAACAUUGUCACAAAAUAUAUAGAUUUAUUUACAACAUUUUGAAAUAUAUUUAUUAAAAAAGAACCUUUUUAAAAUGUAAUCGAGUUACAUAUUUACUGUUUUAAUAAAUUAGAUUUUAAUGUUGGUAAAUGAAAUAAUAUAUUUAUGAUUUUGAAUAAUAGGUAAAGGGACCUAAUUUAUAUAUGUAUACGGCCUAUAACGCGAGGCGCUUUUUAUAUAUACUGAAUUGUGUAAUAUAAUUAUUUCUACAAAAUGUCAAAAGUCCGCCAUUCCAAUAAUUAAUUCAAAUUUCUUAACUGUGAUUUUGUGUAUAACAUUGUAUAUUUUUUUUAUUAUUAUUUACAAUUACAAUGCAAUCAAGCUUCCUUUUCUGUGAUCUUUUAAACUUAUUCACAACUAUUUUAAAAUAUUAUUUAUUUAAGCAUUUUUAUUUUAAAGAAAAACUUAGAAUGUUGUUGCGCAAAUAUUUUCAUUAUUAUGUACAUUUAAUGUACGCUAUAUAAUUGUGUUCAUUUUAUUACAUAAUUAAAUAUAGCAAAUCUUUGUGAAAUGUAUCAAUUAACAUUUAUAUAAAACACUUUUUACCGAAGUCGUUAUACAUAGCCAGUUUUAUAUGUAUUUAAAGUAUGUAAUAGAAUGAAUACCACGUUUUAAAUAUUUAAAUUUAGAUCUAUACAUGGAGAUAUGUAACGUUGUAUGUCAAUUCUGGUUGUUGAGAGACCGCUAUCACAAAUGGCCUAAGAAGCGGCAGUUCUCCCUAGCUUUAAUUUUUUUAUAAUAGUAUUAUUAUUUUAUCAUGCUUUUUGAAUCAUUAUUUUGAAUUAAUUAGCUCUCCGAGACUUACUGAACUUACAUACUGUAAUUAACAUUAGAUAUUUAUAAUACUGAGAUGUUAUUGUUUUUGCUGUUUUAAAUUUUAAGUUUUCUUAUUAAGCAUAAUAAAAUCUGACUUAUUCUUAACCUAUCUGAACACAAUAAUUGUGUAAUGUGUCAAAUUGGUAAACACCACUGAUUUUUCUUUUUUUUUUAAAUAUAUACAUAACGAAAUUUGUGCAGUGGCAUUGGCCUUCUGACGCAAUAAAUUUGGACCAAACCGAAUACGUGAACUUAGAAAAAUACAUUUAUUUAAAGUACAUAACCAUUGACGGUAAAUAAUAACGACAAUAGCCUUUAUUACAUCGUGAUAAGGAUGUUGAAACGUUACGCCAAACCUGUACGCCACCGGAGUGUCAAAUAUAAUUAAAUAGGUGUUAAAAUGAAUGUUAUCGAUAUACAAAUGUAGGUGUUAGUUUAGUCGCAUGUCCCUAUCACAAAACUAGUACAACAUUUACUAGAAAACAAAUCAACCAAUGAGGUUCCUGUUUUUAAAUAAAGAAAACUGAUUGGUCCCUAGUCUGUUACGAAAGCAAACGAAAUCUCGUUUCUUUCAUACUCAUAAUAAAAUGUUAAUAGCUAUAUGGUUUCACAACUCCAGGAGACAAACAUUGCAGUCUGUCAAGAUGGUAAAGACAAAUGAUUUUUUAUUACAUUGUUUGCCAUUCCAAUACCAAAUAGUCAAGAUUGGCUAGUAACCAUAACCGCAGUGUUACCAGCCAACAGGAGACAGCGCCCACAUUUAUUUUCUUAACUUUCUUAACAGACUGUACCGAUGAUACUACAUCUUUCUUUUCAUUAAAAAAAACUUGAAAAAGAAAUAAAAUAAUGUUUAAUUUAUUUACAAAUCAAAGAUUAUAUAAUGCAAGAGAAUCUAAAGAGUGAAUUAGUCAUUUAAAUAUUAUUUGCUAGUUUUGUGACUUGGUCCGAGAACGCAUAAUAAUGACUAUUUAUAUUAAACUUAAUUAUAAUUAUAAAGGUGAAGAUGAGCAAGCAACCAGGGAUUAGGGGAGUUUAUGUAUAACACUCAUCUGUUUUAAACUUGCUUUCUAUCGUCCUUUAGAAUAAUUGAUGGAAACAUUGAAAAAUAAAUGCCAAUAUGAUCCUGUCAGAUCAAAAUUAUAUAACGUAUAUUAUACUUAUACUACAUUUGUGGAUCUUUUUAAAUGAUGACAAUUUUUAUGUAACACCGUCAUAAUAAUAAACAUAUAGUCAAUAUAUAGAGUACAAAAUAAACGAGCGUAAACCUUGGGCGUUUAUCGACCGAUCUUGAUAAUGGUCAAGAUCGGUCGAUAAACACCCAGGGUUUACGCUCGUUUAUUUGGUAUUGCAAUUACAAAAAAUGUAUCCAGAUCGUAAAAGUCAGUUUUCUGCUGUUUAUAGACAGACUGGAAAUUAAAUAUAUAAACGGUUUCAAAAAAAACUUUUAGAAUAAUCUAGUGUUUCAAACGUUAAAAAGCAUGGUUGAAACAAGCGAGCCUAUAAUAAUAUAAUAAAUCGAUAAAUUUGUUAUUGAAAAAUAUUGCAUGCGUGAAAGGGCAAUCUGUUGAAACUCUUACUUAUGUUUACCAUUCUUGUAUGUACGUACGUGUAUACAGAUUUUGCAAUAAAUGUUUUUGACUUUGA